GAGGCAGUGUGGGAGAGCUUUCCAGAUCAUUCAAGGAUACUAAGACUUGGUAGGGCUCUAGAUUUUGUUGAGUGUAAUGAGACGGCCUGGGUUCAAGUCAAGAGGUUACCACCCUGACUUCUAUAAUGAAAGGCCCACUCUGGCUAUUUUGUUUAGAAUAGACUGUAGGAGAACAUGGGCCAGACUGAGAAGACAAGUCAGAGGCUAUCCCAAGAAUCCAUCUAAAAAGAGGUGAUUCUACCACGGUGGUAGCAAUGGAGAUGGUGAGAAGUGGCCAGACCUGGCAUCUUUAGAAGGAGUAACUGAAAGCAUUCACCAGUGGAUUCAAUUGCAACGGGAAAGGAAAAAAAAGGAAUCAAGAAAUGAUGCCAGCGGUUUUGUUAGAAACUAGAAGGGUAGAAGUACAUUUUAUGAGAUGGGAAAAAAAGGAGCCCUGCAGAUUUGAGAGAUUUCAAGAGUUUGGUCUUACAUACGCUAAAUUUAAGAAGCCUAUUACGCAUCCCAGAGAUGGAAGUAGGCAGUUGAAUAAAUGAGUCUGAAGUUUAAGGAUGAUAUCAAUGCCGAAGAUAUAAAUAUGGACUUGGAAGGAAUUAGAUCAUUUAGGAAGUGAGUAUAAAUGGAGCAAAGAUGAGGUCUGAAUACUAAGUACAGGAGAUACCAACAUUUAAAGGUUAGAGAAACCAUCAAACAAGAGGGAGAAAGAGUGGCCAGUAAGGAAGAAGGAGAACCAAGAAGGAGGUCAUGAAACCAGGGGAAACUAAUCACAGGUUUCCAAGUCAGUGCUAAGUAUAUUUUAUGUUUUAAAAAUGAUUUGUAGUAUAGAUUUUAAAAUUAAUCAGUUUAAUCAUGUCUUGAAUCAGGAGACACUGGAGAAGAUGCUCACUGUCACAUUGUACACAAUCUGCUUAAAAGAAUGACCAUAAAGAUACCAGCAGGACUUCUCCACUUCUUUUCCUGCUUUGGUUAAAUGCAGAGAUGGGAAAUGAGAUGCGGUGCUGGAUACAUCACAUUGCCACGUAGAAGAGAGAAGUGGUCUUGUUCUAGAUUUGUCUGGGAAGUAGAAGCAAUGUCCAUGGAUUGACAUCACAAGGGAAAAGAUUUCAUCUUAGCCUGAAUAUGAUUGUAUCUAAUAGCUAAUGCUACCCCAAAGGUCACAGGCUCCCUUAAGUACAGUGAGCUUCCUGUUUCCAAGAGCACUCGCUGAGAUGGAUGACUGACACAGAUUCAACCAAAAGGGGACUACAGCGAGCAGCAGAAACCUGGCCUAGAGGAAUUCAAAGGUCAUUUGAAAAAAACUAAGAGAUAAUCUUGCCAUGAUUUGUUGAAGGUUUUCCCUCCAACCGGGCCUUGAAUUCUGAUCAUCACUUCUAAAUAUAGAAAUAAAGUAUCCCAAACCUAA
Long non-coding RNA from Felis catus (domestic cat), 1399 nucleotides. RefSeq lists it as uncharacterized. The transcript is spliced from 2 exons. Lineage: Eukaryota; Metazoa; Chordata; Mammalia; Carnivora; Felidae. The record is from RefSeq and is a predicted model, not a curated record.